This 253-nucleotide ribosomal RNA is filed under the name uncultured bacterium. Its description in RNAcentral is "partial 16S ribosomal RNA". It matches the Rfam family "Bacterial small subunit ribosomal RNA", at positions 524 to 776 of the family's 1533-position model. The record is from RNAcentral.
UACGUAGGGUGCAAGCGUUAAUCGGAAUUACUGGGCGUAAAGCGUGCGCAGGCGGUUUUGUAAGUCUGUCGUGAAAUCCCCGGGCUCAACCUGGGAAUUGCGAUGGAGACUGCAAGGCUGGAGUCUGGCAGAGGGGGGUAGAAUUCCACGUGUAGCAGUGAAAUGCGUAGAGAUGUGGAGGAACACCGAUGGCGAAGGCAAUCCCCUGGGCCUGCACUGACGCUCAUGCACGAAAGCGUGGGGAGCAAACAGG